This 231-nucleotide ribosomal RNA is filed under the name uncultured bacterium. Its description in RNAcentral is "partial 16S ribosomal RNA". It matches the Rfam family "Bacterial small subunit ribosomal RNA", at positions 103 to 334 of the family's 1533-position model. The record is from RNAcentral.
CGGGUGAGUAACACGUAUCCAACCUGCCGUCUACUCUUGGACAGCCUUCUGAAAGGAAGAUUAAUACAAGAUGGCAUCAUGAGUCCGCAUGUUCACAUGAUUAAAGGUAUUCCGGUAGACGAUGGGGAUGCGUUCCAUUAGAUAGUAGGCGGGGUAACGGCCCACCUAGUCUUCGAUGGAUAGGGGUUCUGAGAGGAAGGUCCCCCACAUUGGAACUGAGACACGGUCCAA